CUCAAACACUCUCUCAAACAAGGCUCUCACAGCUGUGUGUAAAUCCAGCUGUCAUUAUGAAACAUGUCCCUAGGGGCGCUGGAAGAGUGGGGAAAGA
Molecule: non-coding RNA, 97 nt
Organism: Chelonoidis abingdonii (Abingdon island giant tortoise)
Lineage: Eukaryota; Metazoa; Chordata; Testudines; Testudinidae
Source: RefSeq, a predicted model, not a curated record